UACGUAGGGUGCAAGCGUUGUCCGGAAUUAUUGGGCGUAAAGAGCUCGUAGGCGGUCUGUCACGUCGGCUGUGAAAACCCGGGGCUCAACCCCGGGCCUGCAGUCGAUACGGGCAGACUAGAGUGCGGUAGGGGAGACCGGAAUUCCUGGUGUAGCGGUGAAAUGCGCAGAUAUCAGGAGGAACACCGGUGGCGAAGGCGGGUCUCUGGGCCGUAACUGACGCUGAGGAGCGAGAGCGUGGGGAGCGAACAGG
This 253-nucleotide ribosomal RNA is filed under the name uncultured bacterium. RNAcentral's name for it is "partial 16S ribosomal RNA". It matches the Rfam family "Bacterial small subunit ribosomal RNA", at positions 524 to 776 of the family's 1533-position model. The record is from RNAcentral.